RNAcentral lists this ribosomal RNA (483 nucleotides) under uncultured bacterium. Its description in RNAcentral is "partial 16S ribosomal RNA". It matches the Rfam family "Bacterial small subunit ribosomal RNA", at positions 28 to 507 of the family's 1533-position model. The record is from RNAcentral.
GACGAACGCUGGCGGCGUGCUUAACACAUGCAAGUCGAACGCUGAAGCUCAGCUUUUGUUGGGUGGAUGAGUGGCGAACGGGUGAGUAACACGUGAGUAACCUGCCUCCUUCUUUGGGAUAACGCCCGGAAACGGGUGCUAAUACUGGAUAUUCACUGGUCUUCGCAUGGGGGUUGGUGGAAAGGGUUUUUCUGGUGGGGGAUGGGCUCGCGGCCUAUCAGCUUGUUGGUGGGGUGAUGGCCUACCAAGGCUUUGACGGGUAGCCGGCCUGAGAGGGUGACCGGUCACAUUGGGACUGAGAUACGGCCCAGACUCCUACGGGAGGCAGCAGUGGGGAAUAUUGCACAAUGGGCGCAAGCCUGAUGCAGCGACGCCGCGUGAGGGAUGGAGGCCUUCGGGUUGUGAACCUCUUUCGCUCAUGGUCAAGCCGCAACAAUGGUUGUGGUGAGGGUAGUGGGUAAACAAGCGCCGGCUAACUACGUG